UUGAUUGAUUCAUCAAGUACUCCGACGUACAGAUACAGAGUUGGAGUGGUCCACCGGGGUGCCCGACGGCCGACGCGUCGGCGUCCGGGUCGCCCCCGAGGCAACAAGUGUGGUCAAAGGGUUGGAGGUCGGGCCGGAGGCCCUCACUCGGUAAUGAUCCCUCCGCAGGUUCACCUACGGAGA
RNAcentral lists this unclassified non-coding RNA (183 nucleotides) under uncultured fungus. RNAcentral's name for it is "sequence contains ITS1". Lineage: Eukaryota; Fungi. The record is from RNAcentral.